AGAGUUUGAUCCUGGCUCAGGAUGAACGCUGGCGGCGUGCUUAACACAUGCAAGUCGAACGAACCUUCGGGUUAGUGGCGGACGGGUGAGUAACGCGUGAGAAUCUGCCCUCAGGAGGGGGAUAACGGUUGGAAACGACCGCUAAUACCCCAUAUGCCGAAAGGUGAAACGAAUUUCGCCUGAGGAUGAGCUCGCGUCUGAUUAGCUAGUUGGUGAGGUAAUGGCUCACCAAGGCUUCGAUCAGUAGCUGGUCUGAGAGGAUGAUCAGCCACACUGGGACUGAGACACGGCCCAGACUCCUACGGGAGGCAGCAGUGGGGAAUUUUCCGCAAUGGGCGAAAGCCUGACGGAGCAACGCCGCGUGAGGGACGAAGGCCUCUGGGCUGUAAACCUCUUUUCUCAAGGAAGAAGAUAUGACGGUACUUGAGGAAUAAGCCACGGCUAAUUCCGUGCCAGCAGCCGCGGUAAUACGGGAGUGGCAAGCGUUAUCCGGAAUUAUUGGGCGUAAAGCGUCCGCAGGCGGCCUUUCAAGUCUGCUGUUAAAGCGUGGAGCUUAACUCCAUUAUGGCAGUGGAAACUGAUAGGCUUGAGUAUGGUAGGGGCAGAGGGAAUUCCCGGUGUAGCGGUGAAAUGCGUAGAUAUCGGGAAGAACACCAGUGGCGAAGGCGCUCUGCUGGGCCAUUACUGACGCUCAUGGACGAAAGCCAGGGGAGCGAAAGGGAUUAGAUACCCCUGUAGUCCUGGCCGUAAACGAUGAACACUAGGUGUCGGGGGAAUCGACCCCUUCGGUGUCGUAGCUAACGCGUUAAGUGUUCCGCCUGGGGAGUACGCACGCAAGUGUGAAACUCAAAGGAAUUGACGGGGGCCCGCACAAGCGGUGGAGUAUGUGGUUUAAUUCGAUGCAACGCGAAGAACCUUACCAGGGUUUGACAUCCUGCGAACCUCUUAGAAAUUUGAGGGUGCCUUCGGGAAUGCAGUGACAGGUGGUGCAUGGCUGUCGUCAGCUCGUGUCGUGAGAUGUUGGGUUAAGUCCCGCAACGAGCGCAACCCACGUUUUUAGUUGCCAGCAUUUAGUUGGGCACUCUAGAAAGACCGCCGGUGAUAAACCGGAGGAAGGUGUGGAUGACGUCAAGUCAUCAUGCCCCUUACACCCUGGGCUACACACGUACUACAAUGCUACGGACAAAGGGCAGCAAACUCGCGAGAGCUAGCAAAUCCCAUAAACCGUGGCUCAGUUCAGAUCGUAGGCUGCAACUCGCCUACGUGAAGUAGGAAUCGCUAGUAAUCGCAGGUCAGCAUACUGCGGUGAAUACGUUCCCGGGCCUUGUACACACCGCCCGUCACACCAUGGAAGUUGGCCAUGCCCGAAGUCGUUACUCCAACCCUUGUGGAGGAGGACGCCGAAGGUGGGGCUAAUGACUGGGGUGAAGUCGUAACAAGGUAGCCGUACCGGAAGGUGCGGCUG
Molecule: ribosomal RNA, 1465 nt
Filed under: Prochlorococcus sp. AG-363-P06
Lineage: Bacteria; Bacillati; Cyanobacteriota; Cyanophyceae; Synechococcales; Prochlorococcaceae
Description: bacterial SSU rRNA
Rfam family: Bacterial small subunit ribosomal RNA
Source: RNAcentral